AUUCAAAUAUUUCUCAUAGAUAAACUUGAUCAUAAACACACAAUUCAUCGGAUCUCGACAAACACACUGCAAAAAGAGUUACAUAGAAUAGAUCUCCAAGAAGAUCAAGGAGAACAUGGUAUUGGGAUCCAAAGAGAGAGAAAAGGCCAUCUAGCUGAUAACUAUGGACCCGAAGGUCUGUGGCAAACUACUCACAACUCAUCGGAGAGGCCUUGGACAUGAUGUAGAGGCCCUCCGUAGUCGAUUCCCCCUCCGGUGGAGCACCGGCGAAGCCUCCAAGAUGGGAUCUCGCGGAUACAGAAGGUUGCGGCGGUGGAAUUAGGUUUUCGUUGGCUCCCGUGAUGUUCUCGGGGUACGUGGGUAUAUAUAGGAGGAAGAAGUAGGUCAGUGGACUCUCGACGGGCCCACGAGAUAGGGGGCGCGCCCAGUAGGGGGGGCACCCUCCACCCUCGUGGCCACCUUGAUUGUUGCAUGACUUCCACUUAAGUCCUCUAGAUCAUGUUUGUUCCAAAAAUCACGCUCCCGAAGGUUUCAUUCCGUUUGGACUCCGUUUGAUAUUCCUUUUCUUCGAAACACUGAAAUAGGCAAAAAAACAGCAUUACGGGCUGGGCCUCCGGUUAGUAGGUUAGUCCCAAAAAUGAUAUAAAUGUGUAAAGUAAAGCCCAUAAACAUCCAAAAUGGGUAAUAUAAUAGCAUGGAACAAUAAAAAAUUAUAAAUAUGUUGGAGACGUAUCAGCAUACAUGAUAGAACCUAUGGUUGAGGCAUAGGGAAUGACUUUCAUUUUCUCUCUAUCUUCUACAGUGGUCCGGCAUUGAGUCUGACUCAACUUCACACCUUGUAACACAGGCAAGAACCCUUUCUUUGACUGAUCCAUUUUGAACUUCUUCAAAACUUUAUCAAGGUAUGUGCUUUGUGAAAGUCCUAUUAAGCAUCUUGAUCUAUCUCUAUAGAUCUUGAUGCCCGAUAUAUAAGCCGUUUCACCGGUCUUUCAUGAAAAACCUUUUAUUCAAGUACCCUUUUAUGCUAUCUAGAAAUUCUAUAUCAUUUCCAAUCAACAAUAUGUUAUCUACAUAUAAUAUUAGAAAUUCUAUAGAGCUCCCACUCACUUUCUUGUAAAUACAGGCUUCUCCAAAAGUCUAUAUAAAACCAUAUGCUUUGAUCACCUCAUCAAAGCAUAUAUUCCAACUCCGAGAUGUUUGCACCAGUCCAUCAAUGGAUCGCUGGAGCUUUCACACUUUGUUAGCACCUUUAGGAUCGACAAAACCUUCUGGUUGCAUCAUAUACAACUCUUCUUUAAGAAAUCCAUUAAGGAAUGCAGUUUUGACGUCCAUUUGCCAGAUUGAAGUCCUCCAAGUAGCAUCUCCAAGUAGCACCGCAUAGCAUAAUCCUACCCGGCGAUCCUCCCCUCGUCGCCCUGUGGAAAAGCGAUCACCGGGUUGUCUGUGGAACUUGGAAGGGUGUGUUUUAUUAAGUAUCCGAUUCUAGUUGUCAUAAGGUCAAGGUACAACUCCAAGUCGUCCUGUUACCGAAGAUCACGACAAUUCGAAUAGAUUAACUUCCCUGUAGGGGUGCACCACAUAACCCAACACGCUCGAUCCCAUUUGGCCGCACACACUUUCCUGGGUCAUGCCCGGCCUCGGAAGAUCAACACAUCGCAGCCCCACCUGGGCACAACAGAGAGGUCAGCACGCCGGUCUAAAUCCUAUGCACGCAUGGGUCUGGGCCCAUCGCCCAUUGCACACCUGCACGUUGCGAGGGCGGUCAGAAGCAGACCUAGCCUCCCUUAUACAAGAGUAGGCGUUCCAGUACAAUCCGGCGCGCGCCGCUCCGUCGCUGACGUCAAGAAGGCUUCGGCUGAUACCACGAUGUCGAGUGCCCAUAACUGUUCCCGCGUAGUUGGUUAGUGCAUAUAGGCCAGUAGCCAGACUCAGAUCAAAUACCAAGAUCUCGUUAAACGUCUUAAGUAUCCGCGAACGCCGACCAGGGCCAGGCCCACCUGUCUCCUAGGUGGUCUCAACCUGCCAUGUCGCUCCGCCACAAAGUAACAGUCGGGGGCCGUUGGGAACCCAGGCCCACCUCUACCGGGAUGGAGCCACCUGUCCUUCCAGCCCCCACAUCGGAACCACUUGCGGGUACUCAACAAGCUGACCCGACUUUAGUCACCAUCUGUAUAGGAUAUGUAUGUAUAGUAAAUACCCGUGAUCACCUCCCGAGUGAUCAUGACCCGAUAGUAUAGCAAGGCAGACUGACAAGAAUGUAGGGCCAAUGAUGAUAAACUAGAAUCCUAUACUAGGCAUUUAGGAUUGCGGGUAAGGUAUCAAUGACUGUAGCAACAAUGACAGGCUAUGCAACAGAAUAGGAGUAACCGAACAGUAACAUGCUACACUACUCUAAUGCAAGCAGUGUAGAGAAGAAUAGGCGAUAUCUGGUGAUCAAAGGAGGGGCUUGCCUGGUUGCUCUGGCAAGGAGGGGUCGUCAACUCCGUAGUCGAACUGGGGGUCGCCGGCAGUCUCGGGGUCUACUGGAAAAAAGUAACGGAGGGGGAACACAAUAAAUAACAGAGCAAUCAAAGCAUCACAAAGCAUAACAUGGCAAUACGCGGUGCUAGGUAUGCCCUAACGCGGUAGUAGGUGGUACCGGCGAAAGGGGGAAACAUCCGGGAAAGUAUCCCCGGUGUUUCGCGUUUCCGGACAGAUGAACCAGAGGUGAAAAGUUGCGAGUUCGAUAGGUUAGGGAGGUGUGCCGGAUGAACGGGCUGCGUAUCCAGAUUCGUCUCGUCGUUCUGAGCAACUUUCAUGUAGAAAGUAUUUUCAUCCGAGCUACGGUUUAUUUUAUACUUCCUCUGUAAACUAAUAUAAGAGUGUUUAGAUAACUACUUUAGUAUUCUAAACACUCUUAUAUUAGUUUAUGGAGGGAGUACUAAUUUAAAAAGAUUUAAUCAUUUCCUAGAUUUCCUGGAUUUAAUUUAAUUCGAAAUUAAAAACAGAAUAUACUUUCGUCACCUAGUGCUACCCUAGCAUGUGAGUAUGACAGUGGGGCCAGUGGGGUUGGGUUGACCCAGUCAAAGGUUGACUGGUCAACAUAUGAAUAGUGUAAGUGGGUCCCAUGUGUCAUUGUCUUUUGUUUAAUAAAAUGGUAAUUAACCAGGGUGGUCCCACAUGUCAUUUACACUAUACCUAACCACUACUUAGCAUAACUACUAAUUAGCUAACCUACCUAACCAGGAUCAGCCUCAUCCACACACAUACGCACACACACAACGCGCUCACACACACACACAACUACGCACACAUCACACACACACACUGGCGCACACGGCCAUGGCCGUGGCCAGCAGCAGCAGGCAACGGCGGGCAGCGGCGGCUCCUAGUGGCAGCAGCAGUACGAGAGCAGCAGGGGGCACCUAGCAGCAGCAGCAGUACGAAGAGCAGUAGCAAGAGGAGCGGCAAGAAUAGCAGCACGCAUCGGCAGUAUGCAGCAGCAAGGACGCAGCAGCGGCACAAGCAGUAGCAGGCAACAUCGACGAGCACGACAAAGGCGCGACCACGGGGAGGAGCAAGCGAGCGAGCAGGGGCGCGACCUCGCGCACGCGUAGGAGCGCAGCACGCGUACCCGGGCGUGGCCGGCGGCCGAGCGCAAACACUGGGCGGCCAGGACGCAGGGCUCGAGGGCGGUGAGCGUGACGCGGUCGUGGUGGCCGCGGCCAUCGGCCGGAAUUUGGGCAGCGCCACAGAGCGACGAACAGAGGGGGAAACGAGAGGAAUGGGGGUGGCGCUCACAGGGGAAGGCGGAGGACGCGUCCGACGGGGCAGAGGAGCUCCGGUGAGGUAGAUCGGGCGCGGGGCAGCGGCAGCCAUUGGCGAGGUAGAUGCGUCGAUCCCGACGAUGUAGUUGAUCCGGGCUCGCGUAGAAGGGCAGGGGCGGCGUGUGUUGACGCGGCGAAGCUCCCGAACAACCUCCCGUGGCACGGGGAGUCCUCGGGGCACGAGAACGUCGACAAGGUGGAGACGACUCCGUUAGGUGUGCACCAAAACGAUGGGGGCGACGAAGAGGAGAGGGCUAAGUGACCUAGGGUUCGUCCAACAAAGAAAGGAGGGGCUCGGGGUGUUCUUAUCCUCACGCGAAGUUACCGGAUGGACGACGUGUGGAGAUCGGAGGCGUGUGCGGGCACGCGUGCUCCAUGGUGACGAGGGUGAACAGGAGGUUGGGGAUGGCCGUAGGUGGGCUGGGCUAUGUGCUGUAGCGAUGGGCUACAGUGCACAGUGUAGCUUUAGGCCUUUUCUUCUUUUUCUUUUUUUUUUAUAAUUAUUUUUCUGUUUUGCUUUUCUUUACAGUUUUGUAUUUUUUUUGAUCUAAUAUAUGAGUAUAGUUAAAUGUGCCACUUAGCACAUAAAUACUAGGCAAGGUUUUGAAGCAGCACACAAUGUUCCAAAAUUAUUUUGAAUAGUUUAACUAUUUGUUUAAGUUGAAAUGGUUCAAAUAAAUACUGGUGAUUUAGUUUUAAGUAGGUUAGGGACAAUUUAAAUAAUCAAAAGAGGUUGGCUCCUACAUGAAAAAUAGUUAGGGGAUAUUUUUAACCCAUCAAACAUUUUUCCUUAUCGGUUUGAAGAAAUAAUAAUUUGACUUGUUUUUGGAAUUUGAAUUUGAAUCGGUUUCGAACUAACGCCGAGAUUAGCAACAGUAUCGAGGUGACGUGGCAUCAUUAGCGGGGGAUCACUGUAGCUUAAUUAUUCAGGCGCCACAAUUCUCCUCCACUACAAGAAAUCUCGUCCCGAGAUUUAAGAGGGGAGUAAGGGGGAAGAAUAGGUUACGAAAUUCUAACGAUUCUUCUCAAAGAAGUUAAUCCCUUUCGUUGAUGUCUUCAAUUCUUUAUUCCAAAGCAUCAUGAUGAAGUUGUCGUCCUUUCUUCGGGGAACUCCAUCAUACUUACGUAUAGGUAAGGGGUAGCUCUACAAUGAUAGGAUGUUAUAAGGGAAAUUCAUCUGGGGGUAUCCCAAGAAUGAACAUAUGAGUAUCUCUCGAGUUGAACAAAUGACACACAUCGAGAGCAAAGUAAGACGAUGCAAUAAGAAGUUUCAAGCGGAUAGGCAAUCGUUCAUUGCCUGAAGCAGAGUGCGAAAGGGGUUCAAAGCAACGGGAAUAAGUAUUGUCUCCGAUACCAGAAUAGAUCAACAGGCAAGUGGCCCGUGAAUUACAUACAAAGUCAAGCACGAGGAAUAACUUUGACAACAGGUUGUACAGGAGAGUCAGGAUUCGAUCAUGUGGAACUGUGGGUUAUGGGCCCACCAUGUGGGUUAAAAGUAGAAAGGGCGAUGAUGUCUUGCACGAUCAUGUAAGCAAGGCAUGUCAGAGAAUAACCUGUCAGUUAUGUCGGCAACAUCGGUACCAAGGGCGAGGGACGAAGAGAACCAAUUCCUGCUCGUUGAACAAGGCGGACCAAUAGGCAAAGUUCUUAUCCAUCGGUGGUUACCGGAAUGUCUUCAACAAUAGUAACAGGGUCUUACUGACAGAGUUGUACGUCGAGAUGUUUACAUAAGCAGGAGAAUAUCACUGCUUAGAUCAUAUAUACCACAAGCAACGUUAAACCAACCAAUGGAAGGAAAAUACGAUUAUCAUAUUAAACAGAACAAUGGAAAGGAAAAAUGUGUUUAAACACAUAUUUCAGGGGUAUAUCCUUCCCAAGGACAAGCAGAGUAUGAUAUCCAUGACAGGAUAUAAUGUAGAAAACUCUUUAGGUAGGGGAAGGAAUUUUCAUUACAUUACCCAUACAACGGUGUUUGGAUAAUUGAGCAAAAUACAUUUAGCAUUGGGCUUCAAAUGUUCCUGUUGAAAAUCGGAGUACCAUAGACAUGCUUUAGGAUAGCAUUGACAUGGUCUUCAAGCAAAAGGUCAGAUCUGGAUACACGAAGGAUUCAUCAGGAACAACUUAUAGAAUAUGUCUUACCAUUUCCUCAUGGAAGAAUAGAUAACCUUGCUAAAAGUAAGCUAUAACAAUAGGUCCUCCGGCCAGGUGUACUAGGCAUUACACCACCUUACCAGGUCAUAUAAUGACCAAUGUUAUAACUUUUGGAAAUAUGUCCCAACCAUCAUAUCUAACCGAGAUUCAGAUUUGAUCGGUGUCAAACUACCUCAGACUCAGGAUGCCUAAGAGGAAAAGGUGCAAUACAAAUUGAUGAGAUGACAUUGUAAGAUUCUCGGGAAAUGAACUAUGAAGUGAUUUCCGUUAACAAGAGUUCAUCAUUAACCCAAGGAGAGGACAAGGAGGUGUCUGGUGAACUCAACGGCAAAUCAUCGAGAUUUCCACAAUUAAGUGAACAAGGAGAUAACAUUUGUCAGAUCAAAUGAUAUAAGGAAGUAUGCUCGAGGAAAACAUACACAAUUAAACGUUGGUUGAAAGGUGCGCCCAAAAUAUGGGUUGGGUUGCACGGCCAAUGUCAGAAUGGUGAUUCAAUAAGCCAUAGUCGUAGAAUGAAACUAUAGACCAAUAACUUCAAAGCAAGAGGGUUGCUCGAAGUUUAGAAUUUACACAUCACAGACCAUUUGUCGGUAUUCCGAUUAGAAACAUCAGGGGACCAAGAAAAGAAUGGUGAUGUUAAUAAGUAUCACUGGUAUCAAGAAUUCUUAAGGGUGGUGAAUUUCUCACAACAUUGAGGACAUAAGAGAUGUUAAUGUUCCAAGGUAAAGAAUAACAAUUACUGGAUAGCAAGGAACUCAAGGUAUAACACCAAACACAAACAGGCUUGUGUUGGUGAGAAGGCAAUAAAGUGGUCGAUGAUAACGCAGAUCAUCGAGGGCAAGGAUGGUAUUUCUCAUCAUGAACUCAUUUGAUAUCCUGGAAGAGCUCAUAAGGUUGAUGAAGAUCACGACACACUUUGUCGAGAGAUUUCAAGAUGUAAUCGAUCGGCGAUGACAUCAAGUCAAAUGAAUGGUGAAGCGAAAGGUUAUUGGAACCAAGGGUACGACACAAACUCGAAAUCAAGUUUGAUGUUCAAGGUGAAAUGAUAUGACGAGGAAGAUCGAUGUAAGAUUAGCUCACCGUCGAAAUUUGUGCUCCGGGAAGGACCAAGUAGCAGAAUUAAAAUUAGCACGGUAAGGAUGUAGCCGAACAGGCUAGAAAUGACGCGAUCGGAUACAAACUCGUACUUAAAGAAGAUUAUCAAAAGUUGUUGAACCGUAGUGCAGACUCGGUUCAGUUAUCGGUGCCUUUGAGUGUUUAAUAACUCAGAGCCCAUGAAAACUGUAAUCAGUGAGAAUGUAGUACUUGAUGAAGAACUCAUAAGAAGUUAUGUAGUUCCAAGAUAAUCUCGAGAUACCAGGGGGGUAAUACUCGAAGAUGCAUCAAAGUAGAGGUUGGACUGGGGUAUUGAUCCGCAGAAGACAAAUGUUUAAACUUGCCCGAGAAAUGGGAACAAAGAAGAACAAUAUGGUCGACACCAUAACUACAAGGGGUCCAAUUUAAUGACACCGAAAGAAUUACUCGAAUGAGUAAAUAUUUGGCAAGAAGCUUCCAUGAUAAGUUCCACAUCGGGUCCAUGGGCAUGAACGCAGAGUUCAAGGUCGACUCCCACUUCUCCAAUGCAUACCCUUUCAUUCACUUCUCGCUUUCGAUGAAGUUGUAGUGUUGAAAUAUUAUCUGGCAAAACACCAGAAGAGUAUGACUCAUGAAAACUCUCGGGUGCAUACGGUUAGGGAAGGCAUAGGUUCAACCCAUAGGGGCAUCUUAGGAACAUAUACCACAAACAUCAGGAGUAAUUAUCACCAGCUCGAAAGUAGAGCAUGGUUGACAAAGCAGAGGAUACAAUUUACCAAAGGCAUUAUAUACCCGUGGAAAAGCUCACAAGGUUAUUGAAUAUGAAGGACGAUGUCGGAUGAAAUCCAACAAUGGAUCGGGCGAUCCACAACGGAGCUGAUGUGAGUAUCGGUAUUCCAGAAAGAAUGCACGGGCAUCAUAUUAUAGAACAUCGGAAUAAUUCGAUGCUUAGAUAACAAAGGAAUUAUGAUUUCCAAAACAAAUGAUCAGAAGAAGAUGCUCUGAUCAAGGAUGGAUAAGUUGGAUAGACCAGAGGCACAAUUGACGACAAAUAGUUUGGUCGAGAACCAGCUCAUGUUCGAAAUGACAUCUGAGCCGGAAAAAUAAUUUAGAAGGGUUGAUAGAUGAUUGUGUGCAUUCGCACACAUGUUGAAUCAAUAGGAUCAAAAUGACGGUGUCAAAAGAUACUAGUGAAUAUUGCUAGUGAUAUGGGAGCAUCCAUAAUGUAAGCAUUCAAGUAUUUGCAGAGCAAUAGUUUGAAGAGGAUGCUCAGAAGGUCGGAUAGUAUUUCAGAGUAUCUUAUGAAGCAUACGAACAACUGGGGAUGAACAGAUACUCAAUAAGUGCGAGGAAUUUUCAAUAGGGAUAUUCAUGUGGUAAGGAACUGCAAGGCAGUAAGCUUAAAGGAUUUUCGGAACAACGGAGAGCAAUUUAGGGCAUCUUGUAAUAACAAGAGCAACUGAGGAUGAAGGUAUGAACGACAAUUGUAGGUAGUUAUCCAUAAGGGUAUAUCGGUGGUAGGGGAUUGUAAAUUCAGUGGGCACAAGGGUCUCGGGAAAACCUCGGAGAGUAUCUUCGGAAUCUUCUGGUGCAGCAAGCGAUCAACUGGAGUGAGGGGCUCUCCAGGAGAAAGUAUUUUCGAGAACCUAAAGUUAGUCUUUUUAGCAAAUCAUUUAACCCGAAUAGAAGAGAGAUCAGAGUCCCAGAGUAUAGACAAGGAGUAAAAGAUCCUAAUACCACCCAAUGGCGACGUGGGCCCGUAAGCCACACAGCCAUGUUAGUAAAAGUUUUUCAAUGACUAGACUCGACUUCGGCCAAGGAGUGUGGAAGGGGGAUUCCUACAGGCAGUCGACUCUGAUACCAACUUGUGAUGCCCCCGAUUCAAUCGUACACUAAUCAUGCACGCAAAUGUGUACGAUCAAGAUCAGGGACUCACGAGAAAAUAUCACAACACAACUCUAAAAGUAAAAAUAAGUCAUACAAGCAUCAUAUUACAAGCGAGGGGCCUCGAGGGCUCGAAUACAAGUGCUCGAUCAUAGACGAGUCGGCGGAAGCAACAAUAUCUGAGUACAGACAUAAGUUAAACAAGUUGCCAUAAGAUGGCUAGCACAAACUGGGAUACAGAUCGAAAGAGGCGCAGGCCUCCUACCUGGGAUCCUCCUAACUACUCCUGGUCGUCGUCAGUGGGCUGCACGUAGUAGUAGGCACCUCCGGUGUAGUAGGAGUCGUCAUCGACAGUGGCGUCUGGCUCCUGGACUCCAGCAUCUAGUUGCGACAACCAGAAAGAAAGGAAAGGGGGAAAAAGGGGGGAGAAAGCAACCAUGAGUACUCAUCCAAAGUACUCGCAAGCAAGGAACUACACUACAUAUGCAUGGGUAUAUGUGUAAGGAGGCCAUAUUAGUGGACUGAACUGCAGAAUGCCAGAAUAAAAGGGGGAUAGCUAGUCCUAUCGAAGACUACGCUUCUGGCAGCCUCCAUCUUGCAGCAUGUAGAAGAGAGUAGAUUGAAGUCCUCCAAGUAGCAUCUCCAAGUAGCACCGCAUAGCAUAAUCCUACCCGGUGAUCCUCCCCUCGUCGCCCUGUGGAAAAGCGAUCACCGGGUUGUUUGUGGAACUUGGAAGGGUGUGUUUUAUUAAGUAUCCGGUUCUAAUUGUCAUAAGGUCAAGGUACAACUCCAAGUCAUCCUGUUACCGAAGAUCACGGCUAUUCGAAUAGAUUAACUUCCCUGCAGGGGUGCACCACAUAACCCAACACGCUCGAUCCCAUUUGGCCGCACACACUUUCCUGGGUCAUGCCCGGCCUUGGAAGAUCAACAUGUCGCAGCCCCACCUAGGCACAACAGAGAGGUCAGCACGCCGGUCUAAAUCCUAUGCACGCAGGGGUCUGGGCCCAUCGCCCAUUGCACACCUGCACGUUGCGAGGGCGGCCGGAAGUAGACCUAGCCUCCCUUAUACAAGAGUAGGCGUUCCAGUCCAAUCCGGCGCGCGCCGCUCCGUCGCUGACGUCAAGAAGGCUUCGGCUGAUACCACGACGUCGAGUGCCCAUAACUGUUCCCGCGUAGUUGGUUAGUGCGUAUAGGCCAGUAGCCAGACUCAGAUCAAAUACCAAGAUCUCGUUAAACGUGUCAAGUAUCCGUGAACGCCGACCAGGGCCAGGACCACCUGUCUCCUAGGUGGUCUCAACCUACCCUGUCGCUCCGCCACAAAGUAACAGUCGGGGGCCGUCGGGAACCCAGGCCCACCUCUACCGGGAUGGAGCCACCUGUCCUUCCAGCCCCCACAUCGGAACCACUUGCGGGUACUCAACAAGCUGACCCGACUUUAGUCACCAUCUGUAUAGGAUAUGUAUGUAUAGUAAAUACCCGUGAUCACCUCCCGAGUGAUCACGACCCGAUAGUAUAGCAAGGCAGACUGACAAGAAUGUAGGGCCAAUGAUGAUAAACUAGAAUCCUAUACUAGGCAUUUAGGAUUGCGGGUAAGGUAUCAAUGACUGUAGCAACAAUGACAGGCUAUGCAACUGAAUAGGAGUAACUGAACAGUAACAUGCUACACUACUCUAAUGCAAGCAUUAUAGAGAAGAAUAGGCGAUAUCUGGUGAUCAAAGGAGGGGCUUGCCUGGUUGCUCUGGCAAGGAGGGGUCGUCAACUCCGUAGUCGAACUGGGGGUCGCCGGCAGUCUCGGGGUCUACCGGAAAAAAGUAGCGGAGGGGGAACACAAUAAAUAACAGAGCAAUCAAAGCAUCACAAAGCAUAACAUGGCAAUACGCGGUGCUAGGUGUGCCCUAACGCGGCAGUAGGUGGUACCGGCGAAAGGGGGAAACAUCCGGGAAAGUAUCCCCGGUGUUUCGCCUUUCCGAACAGAUGAACCGGAGGUGGAAAGUUGCGAGUUCGAUAGGUUAGGGAGGUGUGGCGGAUGAACGGGCUGCGUAUCCAGAUUUGUCUCGUCGUUCUGAGCAACUUUCAUGUAGAAAGUAUUUUCAUCCGAGCUAUGGUUUAUUUUAUAUUAAUUUUAAAAGUUUAAUCAUUUCCUAGAUUUCCUGGAUUUAAUUUAAUUCGAAAUUAAAAAUAGAAUAUACUUUUGUCACCUAGUGCUACCCUAGCAUGUGAGUAUGACAGUGGGGCCAGUGGGGUUGGGUUGACCCAGUCAAAGGUUGACUGGUCAACAUAUGGAUACUGUAAGUGGGUCCCGUGUGUCAUUGUCUUUUGUUUAAUAAAAUGGUAAUUAACCAAGGUGGUCCUGUUGGAAUUGAUCUCAGGUUGUAAUAUACCGAGAUAAAAAGAAGGGGAGUCCAAUCCCACGUUGGUGCUUUGAUCGGGGGCACCCAAACCCAAUGUUUUGGUUUCGGUCCCCGAUCCAUCAGUUCCCAUAUAAAAGGAAGAGGUCACGUACCUGUUCAGAUAAGAAAAGAAAAACACAAACGGGUUAAACUCCUGAGUGCUAACAACCGAUCCUAAAAAGAGGGAGCUGAUGUGCUGGAAGGCCGACUACCACCGCCGGCCACCGCAAGGUCAGUGCCGGUGGCCCCUACAGCGGCGUUCCUGAUGCACGUCCACACCAUCUAUGUGCUGCUUUUCUCCCGGCCAUAUCUUCAUCGCCGGAGACCCCAAGGUGCAGCCAUGGGCUACACAAGGGGCUGCAUCGAGCAGCCAUGGGAUUUCGCCAAUCAGUGUAAGUUUGUACGCUUCCACAUAAUACUGAUGUUCUAGUCCGAGAUUAAGUCCUAAAGUUGAUUAGCCUAAAGCCAAUUAAUCUAACAAUGGUAUCAUGAGCUGGUUAAUCUCGGUUAGAACUCCAAUCAUGUUUUUAGUGAUGUUUCUUUUCUGUUAACGAUCAUGUUUAAGUCCUGAUUUUCUCCGUUCCAAAUAUAAUCACCAACUUAAGGUUUAAUUAAACUUUAUUAGGUUAGUGAGCCUUGUUUAUGGCUAAUUAUUUUCAGUCAAUGUAUUACUGAUGCGGGUUAGUGCUAAUUACCCGUUUAAGCAAUCAGAAGGAGGGGAAUUGCAAAUUCUAGAAAAUCCCCAAUUUUUGAAACCCUAGAACUUGGAAUUCCCCAAAUCAGCGCCCAAAAAUGUUUUAAUCGACAAAAAGAAGAGUAUUUGAGGCACACCUCAUGACGCCGCGCCUAUGCUCCUUCGGGAUCCCUGAGCCGUCGACGCCGCCGUCUCUCGGGAUGACGUGCAGAAAGACUCAGCCGCCGCUGAGGUGCUAAUGGACGCGCGCGUGCAGUGGGUUCCGCACCCCGUACGUCGCCGUCGCUGUCGCCGCCAAAAGUUUGCGCCGGCAGCCGCUGGCGAGAUGCCUCACGCGUAGCUAGGACUACCGUCCUCCCGGUCUCGCCAUGAGCUCAACACGGCGACCGCCGUUCGGCGGAGGAGCGCGCGGCCUUGAGCGAGGCACGCUGCUCCGACGAACGGGACUGCCGCACCGCCAUGGCCGGCGUGCCUCGGGUCACCGCCGCGGUUGUCGCCUCUCCUGCACGAGCCGUGAAAAUCGGGGGAGAGGAAAGGAAAUGCUUCUAGGGUUUGACCAGGUGUUGUUUUGCUCCGCCCCGGGAGGAUCGGGGCCGUCGGCUUGAUCCAACGGCUGAGGCCGACGCGCAGCUCCGAAUGGGCUUUGGGCACUUAAAAGGCCGCUUUUGAAGCUGGGUUGCGGCCCAGCAUGUCUUAUCCUGGCAGGAAACGUUCUUGUCUUUGAGCUGGGCCGAAUGAAUCAAGGGUAGCCGUGGGCUGUAUUGGGCCAACAAAUAUAUGUUCUGCGCGUAUUUUCUUUUAUUCAGUGCAAUUCUAUCAUUAAGAUUAUUCUAAGAAAGUCUUUUGCACUGUUAUAGAUAGAAAAUUGUCAGAAAAAUUAAGUUCUAAAUUGUGUUUUAGUUUUCUUAGUAUAAUGGAACCAACGAGAAGUUUUGCUUAGAAAAUUAAAGCACAAUUAAUGUUUAUGUAAUUUUCAUGGCAAGCCUUUAAUGAUGAUGAAGAUUUAUUAAUAAAAAUCCAUGGAUGAUUAUAGGUCAAAUUAUGUUCUUUAGGCAUUUUGUGCAGUUUUAGUGCAUUCAUUAAGUUUCAAAUUAUGCUUUUGCACUGAUGAGUUUUAAAGUGCCUGUAAUUAUGCUUAAAUCUUCUAAAAAAAAUGGAGCCAACGGGAAUUUUUUUGGGGUGAAUGUUGAUGUCAUUUAAAGGCACCUUUUAUGGUCAUCACUUUUCAAGUAUUAUUUCAAUGAAGAAAUCUUAAUGUUAAAAUAUUGAGCAUUUUUCCAGUCACUCAUUUAAGUUUCUAAACAUUAAUAUUUUAUUUGGAAACUUUAUUUGAGUGUGAUGUUUGUGGUGAUGCCAUCCUAAUGACAUUUCUUAAUGAUGUGAUCAUUUCGAAUGGGAUGAGGCCACCUCAAGGGGAAUGUUAUGGUCACAUGGUUCAGUUUUCCGCGUCAUAAGAAUAUUGCGUCGAUACGCCUAUUGGGCAAAACUGAAGUUUUUAUUUGGUGCAUUUCAUGUCAUUUUAUUAUGAUAUGCAUUAUUGAAAUAUGCAUAAAGACUCAAAAAUAAUGUUCAUGGGGUUAUGAUCAAUCCCCUAAAGAAAGGAAUUUUGUUUAGGGGAUUUGUUUCCAAAGUACCUGUUGCUGCCAAAUAUUGUUAUUUCGUGAAUCCUUAUGAAAAUUUAUGUCCAUAUUACCUGGAAAAUGUUAUGAUAUCUUGACGAUAAUAUUAAUGUCUUUUUGGACUGACUGUAACUUUGAAGUCUACUCUCUCGCAAUAACAUUUAUAUUUAUAUGUUAAUUCCAAUGUCACCUUCAUUGUAUGUCGUUUAGAAUUUUAAUGAUAAUUUUGACACUUAUUUUUUUAAUGUUAUUUUCAAUGUUCAUUAAGUGUCAAAAUUUUAAGUUCAAGAUAACUACAACAGGUUAUGAAUCCUUGUGUGCUAUGACAUAAUGGAUUACACUUUAAUGCUACUUUAUGUUAAUGAUGGUUAGUAAUUUAGUUAAUAUUCUUGCUGGUCUUUAUGUGAUUUUAUGUUUUUCUAAUCAAAAUGGAACCAACGAGAAGUUUUGAUUAGAGAUUUAGUGAGCCAAAUUCAUAAUGGCGAUUGAUGAUAUUCUGACCAACGUUGAUUAUUUUUAUGUGUCAUUUAUGAAUGAAUAAGUUUUUUUUCGUUAUUUGCCCAAUGAUAAUGCAGAUUAGAAUAAAUUAAUCAUUUUUUAUUCAUCUCAUUGCAUGGUUAAUUCAUGCUUGAUGUUUUGUUGUAAUGUUCAUAAUGAUGUCUUCUGUUUUCAUAGCAAUGAACAUUAAUAAUGAUGCCAACUUCCAUUUUGGCAUAGACAACCCUUAUGUAAAUAACUUUUCUGUGUGGAGAGUGGAGAUCAUUUUCUCAUGUAAGGAAUCUCACAAUGUUUCUCUGCCACUAAGGUUUACAGAUUUAAUCAUGAUGUUAAAGCGGACAUUGGGAGAGGUCUCAAAAUGCAUGUGCUAUCAUGCACAUUACUAAUGCAAUGGGGUUUAAAGUGAAAACUAUUGGAUUUAUUCCACUAGGAUUUGGAGAUACUUAAUUCUUCAUCUAAUUGAUGAUGUUUGUUCUUGCUCCCAGUUACUGGAGAAACUUAUUUCUUGUUUCUCGAACAUAUGACAUGAUUUUCUGUGUUAUCAAGUUAACUCCAAUUAUGUAACGUUAGUUUCGCCCUAGGGUGAGACAAGUUAUGUUUUUCAUCUGAAUGGAUCAUUUGUAAAGAUUAUGUGUUAUGUUACAAUUAAAGAUGUAAGAGAAGUGUAAAUAAUGAGACCUCAUCGAAAUUGUGGUUUUAGACCACAUUUCGAGGGGGAGAAUGGAAGUCUCGUUUAAUAUGAGAUAUCACGUUCACUUCUCUUACUUAGAUCAAAAUAUGUAUGUUAAUUAUCCAAUUAAAGAUAGAACCAACGAGAAGUCUUGGUUGGAGAAUGUAUGAAAAUCAUAUACUAAUGUCAAUUAUCUAAUUAAGAUGCAACAAGUCUUAUUUAGAAGAAUGGAUAAAAAUUACUCAUUUUAUUACGUUAAUGUGUACUUAAUCCCUUAUGAGCAUUAUGAAGCACACAUGAAUGCUAAAGUGAAGCUUGCUAGUCUAAUGACCAUCAUGAUGUAACAUGCUGAUUAUAUAUAUGACCAACGUCAUUUAUAAUCAUAUGUCGCACUUCACUCAAAUGGCAAGCUUGUUAGUAUCACGUGGCUCGUGGUUAUAUUUUUGACUAUCGUCAUUUAUAAUCAUUUGUCACAAUUCAUUAGGUUCUUUUCCAUCUUCAGCCCAACGGUGUUGUGGUUUAGAACUUAAAUGAUUAUUAUCAAGAUAUUGGAUAUGUUUUCCAUUUUUUCAAAUAAAGUGAUCAUGGGGGAACUGGAGCGUAUGAACAUGAAUCUUAAGGAUAACUCCAGUAGAUCUUUGUUCAUACGCAUCAGGUAAGUUGAGAAGAAAUGCAUAUUGCAAUACUCAAUGUUGAGACUUAACAAUUUCCGUGUGAUUCAUAAUGUGUGUGAAUGAUCAUCUUAGAGGCUUGUGUGAUAAUGAGCUCUAAUGAUGUAUGGAACUCAAUAGAGUUUCCUCGGUGAGUUGUUUUGACGCUUGUGUUAUUAUUAUAACAUACUCUUGUGUUUACUAAGUUAAGAAUGUAUGUAUGACUUAACCGUAAGGUUUCGUCAAAUAGGUGAAGUUAACACAAGGUAUGUUGCCCCAAGAAAUUCAAUUAUGAAAUAAGAAAGCGUCGGGACACUCAUACCAUAAAACCAGGGGGAGUAAGUAUACUACCUUGAGAAGAUGGAAUAUUUUUGGCAGGACCAAGAAUUUUCUACCUUCCAUUUAUGACAUAAAGAAUCUUGGUCAUGCCCUAUACUUUGUUUGUGUCGAGUUUCGCCAAGAUUCCAAAAGUGGUAUAAGUUUUAUCAUGAAGACAUGCAUCGAUAGAGUACGAAAGAAAAUAUUAUGUGGUAGUACUCUUAUCGCACCUGCUACUAAAGUCAAGGGCAAUAAGAGAUGGACAUUUUAGUGUCCAAGGAACCAUUAUGAACUGAUCAGAUAAUGUCGGUUCCUUAUGCUUCAGUUGUCGGAAGCAAUAUGUGUAUUCAAGUAUGAACAUGCCCUUGUUUUGUGAUCGGGAUAAUUGGCAAAUAUACAAGUAAGUCCAGAAAUGGACCACUGGAAAAGCCGAGAAAUGUCUUGCAGAUAUGCAAGAGAAUAAAGUUUACAUGCUCACUAAUAAGAAGUCUAAUAACUUCGAUAUCCUGGGAUAUUCGGACAUUGCUUCUGCGAGAUGUGUGGAUCUUAAAGUUUCCAUGCUAUGUUACAUCCUCACUCUCGCACAUGGAGCUAUAUCGUGGAAAAGCUCUAUAAUGACACUGAUGGCAUUAGAAAUAAUGCACUUACUUAUGUGGCAUGCCAAGAGGCUAUUGGGCAGGUUGUAUGUCAAGAAGUUUUAUUCCCGAGUUAAGAGUGAUAGACAACAUCUCUAAGACACUUACUGCGAUUAUGAGCGCGCAGUUCUCUAUGUGAGUAACAACAAGUCAAUUGUUAUUGCCAAAACCAUUGACAUAAUGUCUCUGUUGUGAAACAUAGAGUCCAGGAUCAAACCUAUGGUUUUUGAUUUAUAAAGUUUUGCGGUACCGCUUACUAAAGGCUUACCACCCAUUUUAUGAUGAUAUCUUGCCGGCAUGGGUUCAUAAAGCCUUUUGAUCCUGGAAAUUAGGACCAUCAUAUAAACCAACUCCCAUAAAGUAUUAUGUUUCCAUCUCAAGAUAGAAUGAUGUACUAUAGGUACUGAGGUUCACUGAUAUCUCAUUAUCUCAUUGGUCAUUGUAACACAUUACUUUGGUAUGUUAUUUCUAUUAAGAGUGGGCUUAUGAUGUUUGUUAACCUUACGAUCAAGGGGAGAAUGUUGGAAUUGAUCUCAGGUUGUAAUAGACCGAGAUAAAAAGAAGGGGAGUCCAAUCCCACGUUGGUGCUUUGAUCGGGGGCACCCAAACCCAAUGUUUUGGUUUCGGUCCCCGGUCCAUCAGUUCCCAUAUAAAAGGAAGAGGUCACGUACCUGUUCAGAUAAGAAAAGAAAAACACAAACGGGUUAAACUCCUGAGUGCUAACAACCGAUCCUAAAAAGAGGGAGCUGAUGUGCUGGAAGGCCGACUACCACCGCCGGCCACCGCAAGGUCAGUGCCGGUGGCCCCUACAGCGGCGUUCCUGAUGCACGUCCACACCAUCUACGUGCUGCUUUUCUCCCGGCCAUAUCUUCAUCGCCGGAGACCCCAAGGUGCAGCCAUGGGCUACACAAGGGGCUGCAUCGAGCAGCCAUGGGAUUUCGCCAAUCAAUGUAAGUUUGUACGCUUCCGCAUAAUACUGAUGUUCUAGUCCGAGAUUAAGUCCUAAAGUUGAUUAGCCUAAAGCCAAUUAAUCUAACAAUUUACACUAUACCUAACCACUACUUAGCAUAACUACUAAUUAGCUAACCUACCUAACCAUGAUCAGCCUCAUCCACACACAUACGCAUACACACAACGCGCUCACACACACACAACUACGCACACAUCACGCACACACACUGGCGCACACGGCCAUGGUCGUGGCCAGCAGCAGCAGGCAACGGCGGGCAGCGGCGGCUCCUAGUGGCAGCAGCAGUACGAGAGCAGCAGGGGGCACCUAGCGGCAGCAGUAGUACGAAGAGCACUAGCAAGAGCAGCGGCAAGAAUAGCAGCACGCAUCGGGAGUACGCAGCAGCAAGGACACAGCAGCGGCACAAGCAGUAGCAGGAAACAUCGACGAGCACGAUGAAGGCGCGACCACAGGGAGGAGCAAGCGAGCGAGCAGGGGCGCGACCUCGCACGCGCGUAGGAGCGCAGCACGCGUACCCGGGCGUGGCCGACGGCCGAGCGCACACACUGGGCGGCCAGGACGCAGGGCUCGAGGGCGGUGAGCGUGACGCGGUCGUGGUGGCCGCGGCCAUCGGUCGGAAUUUGGGCAGCGCCACAGAGCGAUGAACAGAGGGGGAAACGAGGGGAAUGGGGGUGGCGCUCAGAGGGGAAGGCGGAGGACGCGUCUGGCGGGGCAGAGGAGCUCCGGUGAGGUAGAUCGGGCGCGGGGCAGCGGCGGCCAUUGGCGAGGUAGAUGUGUCGAUCCCGAUGAUGUAGUUGAUCCGGGCUCGCGUAGAAGGGCAGGGCGGCGUGUGUUGACGCGGCGAAGCUCCUGAACAACCUCCCGUGGCACGGGGAGGCCUCGGGGCACGAGAACAUCGACAAGGCGGAGACGACUCCGUUAGGUGUGCACCGAAACGAUGGGGGCGACGAAGAGGAGAGGGCUAAGUGACCUAGGGUUCGUCCAACAAAGAGAGGAGGGGCUCGGAGUGUUCUUAUCCUCGCGCGAAGUUACCAGAUGGACGACGUGUGGAGAUCGGAGGCGUGUGCGGGCACGCGUGCUCCACGGUGACGAGGGUGAACAGGAGGUUGGGGAUGGCCGUAGGUGGGCUGGGCUAUGUGCUGUAGCGAUGGGCUACAGUGCACAGUGUAGCUUUAG
This 18535-nucleotide long non-coding RNA is filed under the name Triticum aestivum (bread wheat). Its description in RNAcentral is "long non-coding RNA (TAES_LNC002810)". Lineage: Eukaryota; Viridiplantae; Streptophyta; Magnoliopsida; Poales; Poaceae. The record is from RNAcentral.